AAAAAACUACACAUGGGAGGAGCUUUACACAUUACUGUAGAUUAUUAUUUUUAUUAUUAUUGAAUAUUACAGAGGACAACAAAUAUAAUUUAUUUACAAUUGUAUGACUCUAGACAGCAAUGUACUGCACAAAACGACUCGUAAAAACAUGUUAGAAUUAACUUAUUUAACCUUUUUGAUACCGUAUAUCAAAAUCAAUAGGUUACUGACAAAGUGAAAAAUACAUUUAAAGAGUAGACCAAGCAUUCUGUAAUUAUCUCAUCCAUCCCAUAUGCACAGUAAUGUUACACACUAAAUAGUUUGACAUGUAUAUUUUGUUCAUAUUUUGGAGGCCUAACCUGUAACGUACAGUAUUUAAAUAUGACCUAAAUGUGCCAUCUAGUGGUUGUAAAGGAGAAGAAAACACUGCAUUGGAAAUGUAAGCUACUAUUUAUAUAGCGAAUUUGUAAUGGCGUCUUUUUACAGGCACUAACUACGCCAUUCGUUGGACAAAGCCUAUGGGGGAAAUUAAUGGCGUUUUUGUAGGGUUUUUGGAUAAACGCCGAAAAUAUGGUUUGUGAACACAGGCUCAUAUUAUGAGAUAAUCUUCAUCAGCUAACGUCACCUUUUGUGAAUUUUGAAGAAUGUAAUGUGUAACCUUUAACUAGGCAAGCCAGUUAAGAACACAUUCUUAUUUACAAUGGACGUUGUAAAUAUGGACGACGCUGGGCCAAUUGUGGGACUCCCAAUCACGGCCGAUUGUGAAACAGCCUGGACACAAACUAGGGUGUCUGUUGUGACGCCUCAAUAGACAAUGGACCUGACAGCUCAGAGCUUCUGCUCUUUUCUGUCCAUAAAAAACAAAUGGAUUGGUGGAAGGGGAAGGCCAGGAGCAAGGAAGGCUGGAGUGGUCGAGCAAGGCAUCCCCCAAGGCUAUAUGCCCUAAGGUUUUUAUCAGAACAGGCGUAGAUUAGUCUCACCAUUUUCUUUUCCCGACAUGAGUUUGUUGUGUAAAAAAUAAAUUAUAGCUCACAACUGUGCGGGGCGAGAGGGUGGGGGCGCUAAGGAUGCAGUGCCUUACAUGCUGACCAGACCGGAGCGUCGCAAAAUAAAUGUGGAAAUCCAUGUUAUUCAAUUAUUGAACCCACACUGCUCGCGCGCGCCAACGAGCGUCUGCGUUACCAAGGGCUUACACCUUGCCCAACGCUUCGAACACACCGACUGCGUUUUGCAUCACUGCUGCAUAACAUUUUUGCGCAGCUAGGCAACUAUACUGAUACAGGUACCUUUUGCAGAUGGUCGCAUGCGGUUGGACACAAGGAGAGAAUCAUUUUCGCAGUAUCCUCAAAACCGUGUCUUUUUGACACAACUGCUGACAGCUACAGGGACAUAAACACAAAAAAUGCAGCUUGGAGACAAGUGUCUACGAUAGUAGGAUUGUCAGUUUAGUUGUGAGUUUGUGCUAGAUGUGGCUAGUUAGCGUUAGCUAGCUAACCUAGCUUGCUAACCUAGCCAAUGAGGUGUGUGUGUGAAAGAAAUAGUCAAAUAAAUUAUGCUAGUUACUACCCCUGAUAACUUUACGAAAUAAUAAUGUUUGAAAGUGUCAGUGUGUAUGCUAGAUUAAUAGAAAUGGUAGAUACUACUGUACCCCUGAUAAUUUGGUCAGAUAACUCACACACACACACACACACACACACACACACACACACACACAGUUAUCAUGGACAUGUCACAAUCUAAUAACUAUAGUUAUGCUAGGUAAUGGUUUGGCUUAUCAUGUUCAUGUCUAUGUAGAAGACUGUUGGAGGAAGUGAAGAGGACUCAGGGACAGGUAUCAGAGCGAGAAGGGCAGAGAAAGAGAAGAAGAGGUCUGGGUCAGCAGCUUCAGGCCAGCAGCCUUGGCACUUCUGCCACAUUCUUUCUUUUCUGGAUCCAUUUAUUGUGCAAUGAGUGGCAAUUUUACAGCCAGACCCUCUACUACGUCAUCCACAAGUGUUGUCGCCACCGGUGCAUCAAGACCUUCAACGUCACCUACAAGUGCGACCAUCGCCUCCACCGGUGCAGCGAAACCCUCUACAACGUCUACAUCAUCCACGAGUAUGACCACCACCGGUGCAAUCAUGGAAGAUGAGGAAAUGGGAGGAAGCACCUCUGGAUCUAGGACCACCUGAGAUUAUUAUGAACCUCGCGGAAGUGACCACUGAGGACCUCGUUGAACUGGAUGUGGCCGUGGAGAGGAACAGAGAGAAACGAAGAGGAAUAGCGUCACACCAGGCGUCAUCGGAGGUACCAGCCCCCAGAUCCACUCAACUAAUUUCAGCAGAGGCUCCUCCAAGCCGUUCGAGAGGGAUGCAUCCCAACCUGAUGCUCACAGGAAGGAGGAUGAGGAGACCCUCUUUGCCAUGAGCCUGGUGCCAACACUGAAGAGGCUGCCUCCAGCAAAGAAAAGCAGCAGUAAAGGUUAAAAUGUAUCAGCUGCUUUUCGAUGACAAGUUCAUGGAAAUGGAGUCAAUUUAGCCGACCAGCUCACAGGAAGGACAGGAAGAGGAGAGGAAGGACAGGAAGAGGAGAGGAAGGACAGGAAGAGGAGAGGAAGGACAGGAAGAGGAUAGGAAGGACAGGAAGAGGACAGGAAGAGGAGAGGAAGGACAGGAAGAGGAGAGGAAGGACAGGAAGAGGAGAGGAAGGACAGGAAGAGGAGAGGAAGGACAGGAAGAGGAGAGGAAGGACAGGAAGAGGACAAUAAGGACAGGAAGUUGUCUGGUGUUGUUUUGACCUCCCUCAUUGUACCUUUCUUUUCACACACGUCAGUUCUGUUUAAAUUCAGUCAAUUCAUAAAGUAAUUUGUUUAUAAAGUCUUAGGAUAGCAUUCAUUAUUAGUGUUACAUAGAUUUCUGAAUUGACAGACAGAAUUGAAACUCAUACACCGGAGAAUUCACAGAUGCUCUUGUUGGUUUUUUACGAGACUAAAGGUGAAUAUAUUUCUUUCAUUGAAAACCAGGGUGUUGAAACUGUUUGUGAAGUUAUGUUCCAUCGAUGGGUCAAUGACGUCCAAGGGCCAUUUGUUUGUUUAGCUGUGUUAUGGCUACACAUUAUUACAUUUUUUCCAGAGACAGAGACACACACACACCUCUUCUCCACUCCUCUCUGUGCCUCAGAUCUCCAGCGCCCUGCCCUCUCUCUUAAUGGCCAUGUCUGAAGUUCCCCUACUACGUUUAGGCUUUAUGAGUAGUCCCUGUAUCGGUCUGCAGUUGUGCCAAAAAUACAUGCUCUUGUUGUUCUUACAGAUUACAGGCUACACAUUCAUUUUAUUUAUUUUUUACACAUACACACCUCUUUCAAUAGUUCUAUUUUUAAAAACAUUUUUACAACACACAUACCUGUCAUGUUCUUUCCUGUAGUUGAAUACUAAUUAAAUUAUGUUUUCAUAGUCAGUUGUUUAUUAAUAUCUCAUUUAGACUUAAUCUGCUUGUUUUCUUGAUGAAAGUAAAAAACAUUCUCUUCCCUAAUUUGUUUUUUUCCACCUGUAUUUUGUCAGGCCAGUGAACAUUGUGGUAAACUGUACUAUUUGAAUGGACCCUAGGUUACCCUUUCCCAUCAUACUAACUGUAUGUCAUAUAACCUUAAUUAGUGCCCCAGGUGUGUAUAAUACUGACGUUAAUGGGAGAGGGAAGGGGUUUUAAGGUGUGGUCUUUACUCCAAAAUGUCACUUAAAUAUAGCUUCCAAAUGAAGAGAGACAAUGAUACAUAAAGUAAUCUAGGGAAAAAAUGCUACUUUAUGGACAACGGUGAAUGGUUCAUAAAAUAACCUUUGUGGGAGGGGGCUCUUAAAAGAGCAGUUUCACUCCACGGCAUACUGCUAUGGGACUUCACUUGCUGGCGAUGAGAAGUAGGUGGUAAGCUUCUCCCUCACCUGGAGUGCCUGACUUGGGGCAUUGUUGGCACUUGCCCUGGUGACAUCAGGUACAGGACCAUUUGGCGUGCCUAUCUCCACCCCGAGCGGCUCCUGGAAUGACCUCUGCAUGUAGUUAUAGAGAACACAUGUGGCCUUCACGCAGGCAUCAACAUUUGAGGGGCUGAGACCAAGCACUCUCCAAUACAUUCUCCACCGGGCUGCCAGAAUCCCAAAGGCGCAUUUAACAACUAGCCUUGCCCUGGACAAUCGUUUGUUAAAGAUCCUUACAGGCUUUGGCAAUGGCAGCUGGCGUCCAGCGUAGGGCCUCAUGAGGUUGGGUCUUAAAGGGAAUGCCUCGUCGCUGACGAAGAUGUGGGGAACAGGUCUUCAGCUCCAGGGAGUGAUGCAGGUGGUGGAAUCUCCAGGGUGCCAUUCUGAAGUGCCUGGCCGAAGGCAGAGUGGGGAAAUUCCACCUCUCCAGGAACUCGGCAGCGAUGGCCCUCCAGUCUUCCUCCUUGGGAACAGGCAUGUAUUCACCAACCAGACAGUCCCAAAUGGCUUGUGCCACAGAGGGGACAAUGCCUGCCACUGUGGACCGUCCAACUCGAAAGCUGAAUCCAAUGGUCCUGUAGGAGUCCCCUGUCGCCAAGAAUCUAAAAUAUAAUUCAAAAUAAUUAUCAAUAUUGCUUGUAACUUGAAUUCCACCCACAUAUUAUAUCUACUCAUAUAUCUAUCAUUACAGUUUAUUAUGCUCUACUAAUUAUAUUGUAAUACUCAAUUCCACCCACAUAUUAUAUCUACUCAUAUAUCUAUCUCAUUACAGUUUAUUAUGCUCUACUAAUUAUAUUGUAAUACUCAUCAACCAUCAUUAACAAUGCCUUGAAACACUACAAUUCAGUCUAUGACUGUAUCAAUAAACUGUAGCCCAGGCCAACUCUACUCUUAGAAAGAAUGGUACUAUCUACUUAAAAGGGUUCUCCGGCUGUCCCCAUAGGAGAUCCUUUUUGGUUCCAGGUAGUACCCCUUUUGGUUCCAUGUAGAACCCUAUUGGGUUCCAUGCAUAACAUUUUCCCCAAAGGGUUAUACCUGGAACCAAAAAAGGUUAUCCUAUGAGGAAAGCAGAAGGACACUUUUGGAACCUUUUUCUCUAAGAGUGUAUGUGAGUCCAAUAAGAAUGUAAUGAAUGACUGUAACUGUCUUGAACAACAAUGGGUCGUGGAGAAGACUACCCUACCUUCAUCAGGACAGAAGGCACCUCAACUUUAUUUUCAUUUGGUAACAUUGCAUAAUUAAAAAAGGAUUAUAAACCAACUUUGGGAAAAGUUAUAGUCCUAAUGAACAUUCUGUAAAAGUACAUCUGAUAUCAAAAAGGAACUAUUAACCAGAGAGCCCUUUAGCUAGCUAGGUUGCACAUAAAAACAAUGUAUCAAUCAAUUAUGGUAUCAAAGGCUAUAAAAAUGUACUAGAAUGUAGCUUACCGGAGACAAAUCACCAGGCGUUCAACUCAGCUGAUGGACAUCCGGUAGUUGGUAUCCAUCCGGGCGAUCCUGGCUCCAACCAUCUGGAGCAGGUGAUCGAACUGGCUUCGGUCCAGACAAACGUAACUUCGAAAUUACUCUCCAAACAUUCGAAGCUCUUGAAUGAGACGGUGGAACUUCCCUGCCUGCUUUCGGGACUUGAACCAUCUCUGGAACCACACAGACCUGCGCUUUCGGCGGGGCUGGUCCCAGCCCAACAGCGCGAUCAAGACCACCUUCCUCAACGUUGGUCUCAUUGUUGAAAGAGCCUACGCUGCCAUCUUGACUAUUUGUUAUUGCAUUUCGCUCCAAAACUUCAUUUGAGGGAAAUUAUAUUAUAGGCUCUCACAAUUAAUUUGUGGAUGUCAUCGAAUAAAUAAUAUACUUGGCAAAUAAAUUAAUAAAACAUUUAAAGAAA
Molecule: long non-coding RNA, 5809 nt
Organism: Salvelinus fontinalis (brook trout)
Lineage: Eukaryota; Metazoa; Chordata; Actinopteri; Salmoniformes; Salmonidae
Exons: 2
Source: RefSeq, a predicted model, not a curated record